UGCAGGUACACAUUCAUAUUCUUCCCCGGAUAAUUGGGCCCUGAAAUUAUCAAUGUCAGAAAUAUGUUCUUUCUUUGCAUAAUCUGCCCAGGGGGAGAUUGAGUGGAAUGACAAAUACAGGCCAACAACUGUAUUGGGUUGCCGUCAUGCCGAAGGGAUUAAAACCAUCCAUGGCGAUGCAGACUCGAGGAUUCCUUAGAUCUGCCGCUUUAUCCUGAUGCAAUCCAUAGAAAUGUUUCCACGCUUCCCUAUCCGAUGUGUGUACCGCCAUCUUAUUCCCAUCCACAUCUAGUUCGGUUCUUUUGCCCAAUUUGUGCCAUGUCAUCUGUCUGGCUGUCUCUUCGACCAUGAAAAGAUGUUGAAGCCUUGGUACGGUUGGCAUAUACCGAAG
This 391-nucleotide long non-coding RNA is filed under the name Hordeum vulgare. RNAcentral describes it as "long non-coding RNA (HVUL_LNC001246)". The record is from RNAcentral. Lineage: Eukaryota; Viridiplantae; Streptophyta; Magnoliopsida; Poales; Poaceae.